GAUCCUGUUAAGUGGUUAAAUCGGAUGAAAUCCGACGGCACCCCGUGUUAGCUCGGUUUAAGCAGCAGUGUCGCAUGUUAGACGACUUAACCUUGCUUAAUCAAGCUAAUCCGAGGUGGUUCCGCCACAGAUAUGCUGAAGUGGUUUGGGUAUCAGUCCCCGCCCUUGUAUGCCGGACGGUUAUAUAUGGAACAGGGCAUUUAGACGUGCCAAGUGCAAGCGUUG
This 225-nucleotide long non-coding RNA is filed under the name Setaria italica (foxtail millet). Its description in RNAcentral is "long non-coding RNA (SITA_LNC000320)". The record is from RNAcentral. Lineage: Eukaryota; Viridiplantae; Streptophyta; Magnoliopsida; Poales; Poaceae.